RNAcentral lists this ribosomal RNA (435 nucleotides) under uncultured bacterium. RNAcentral's name for it is "partial 16S ribosomal RNA". It matches the Rfam family "Bacterial small subunit ribosomal RNA", at positions 29 to 507 of the family's 1533-position model. The record is from RNAcentral.
AGCGAACGCUGGCGGCAGGCCUAACACAUGCAAGUCGAGCGGGCAUAGCAAUAUGUCAGCGGCAGACGGGUGAGUAACGCGUGGUAACGUACCCUUUGGUUCGGAACAAAUGAGGGUAACUUCAGCUAAUACCGGAUAAGCCCAUACGGGGAAAUAUUUAUAGCCGAAAGAUCGGCUCGCGUCUGAUUAGCUUGUUGGUGAGGUAAUGGCACACCACGGCGACGUACCGUAGCUGGUCUGAGAGGAUGAUCAGCCACAUUGGUACUAAGACACGGCACAAACUCCUACGCAAGGCAGCAGUGGCUAAUAGUGGAAAGUGGGGGGAAGGAUGAUCCAGCCAGGCCGCUUGAGUGAUGAAAGCCGUGAGGAUGUAAAGCUCUAUUAUGCGUGAAGAUAAUGACGGUACCUAAAGAAUAAGCCCCGGCUAACUUCGUG